GGGCCCGUAGCUUAGCUUGGUGGAGCGCCCGGCUGAUAACCGGGAGGUCACGGGUUCAAAUCCCGUCGGGCCCA
Molecule: transfer RNA, 74 nt
Filed under: Saccharolobus shibatae
Lineage: Archaea; Thermoproteati; Thermoproteota; Thermoprotei; Sulfolobales; Sulfolobaceae
Also listed under: 23 other names
Description: tRNA-Ile
Rfam family: tRNA
About the family: Transfer RNA (tRNA) molecules are approximately 80 nucleotides in length.
Source: RNAcentral